UACGUAGGGGGCAAGCGUUGUCCGGAAUCAUUGGGCGUAAAGAGCGCGUAGGCGGCCCUGUAAGUCCGCUGUGAAAGUCAAGGGCUCAACCCUUGGAUGCCGGUGGAUACUGCAGGGCUAGAGUCCGGAAGAGGCGAGUGGAAUUCCUGGUGUAGCGGUGAAAUGCGCAGAUGUCAGGAGGAACACCGAUGGCGAAGGCAGCUCGCUGGGAUGGUACUGACGCUGAGGCGCGAAAGCGUGGGGAGCAAACAGG
This 253-nucleotide ribosomal RNA is filed under the name uncultured bacterium. Its description in RNAcentral is "partial 16S ribosomal RNA". It matches the Rfam family "Bacterial small subunit ribosomal RNA", at positions 524 to 776 of the family's 1533-position model. The record is from RNAcentral.